AGGAAGAAGAGAGACUGGUCGGGGAGUCAGAGGUGGGAGUUGCAGGGCAGAGGUCGAAACGCCACCUCCAUGUUCUCCUCCAUGAUGAUGUCAUAACGGCACAUUAGAGGCCUGACAGAGAAGAAGAAGAACAAUUAGUUCUGAGAUGUCUAAAACAGAAUAAAAUCUAAUUUAAGGAACAGGUCUGGGUUCAGCACCGACCUCUCGGGACGCUCCAGCGGAGUGAAGCGUAUCCGCAGCAGUCUGAUUUUGUACCGCGGGCCGAUCACGUUGCCGGUGUUGAUGCGCAUGGAGAUCUUCUGGACCUGCUGCAGGUCCUCAUCGAACUGGGCCAGCAGCCUGGUGGAGGUGUACUGCUCGAACCGGAGGCGCUUACUGGGAGAAACAAAGAGGAGGAGGACAUCUUUUAGUUUUAUUUAUUGUCUGUGUGACGUGUGAACUCGCGUGGAUUUAAGCUGACGGACUCACUGGUCUAUUCGGACCUCGGUGAAGUUUCUGCCGUUGUGCAGCCGGAUGUAGACGACCCCCCAGCGGAGGGCAGCGUUGCUGUGGUGCUGAAGAAGACUUUGGUUUGUCCCAGUCGCAGAAGAGUCUCCCUCCACUGACUCUCAUCAUAACCUGCAGUUUCUACGUGUGUCCACCUACCGAGCACGGGGCAGGACGCCGGUUUGAAGGUCUCGCACUGCAGGCAGCGGCCCUCCAGGAAGUCGCUGUAGGACGAGCAGGGGUAACCCGUGAGGCUGCAGGUCCGGUUCAGGGAGCACAGGAACAGGAACACCGAGCGCUGGUGGUCACACACGAAAUAAGAUUUCCCUGUGGGAGACAAAGCACCACAGUGAGCAGGUUUGCUCCCACAAAUCCAGCCAGGUGAGCUCCCAGACUGACGCCGAUGAGGUGCACCGAGCUCAGAGAGGCUCCUUCCUCCUGCAGACACACGACGCAGAAGGAGUCACCUUCAAGGUAGACAUCUUGUUUUAUUUGUCUAAAGGGGCCAGGACCCCAGGCUGGGAACCACUGCCCUAAAGAACCCUGAAAGCUUUGAGUCAAGAGGUCGAAUACACAAAAACAAAGUGUUCUGCUUGUUUUAGGAACACGUUUUGUUUACAUAGUUCUUUAAAGCUGCAUUCAUUGCUUGUUUUGGCCUCUUGGGAGCAGAAGAACAACCCGACAAACACUGAAACUAACAUAUUUUCACUUCAUACAUUUGUUAAAGUUUCAUAUCCAGCUGUUACAGAGCAGCAUGGUGAUUCAUUGGCAGUCCUGGUGUCCAAUAUUCUCUCUCUUUUAGCUCUGUGUUUGGUCUCCACCACCUCCAUUUAGCUGCUAAAUGCUCAAAAGAAACCAAACCAGGAGCUAAAAGAGGCGCAGAGCCUCACCUGCAUGGUGACGAUGAAGCCGGUCAGGUUGUAAGCCGCCUCCCUGGUGUAGCUGACGGCGAUGAAGUAGUUGAGGUUGGCCGCCCCCUUGUUCCAGUCCACCACGAUCACGUUCAUGUCCUGCUGCUCGGCCAGCAGGUGGACCAGGUGGUCUAUCCAGAUGGGGGGCGCCCCGGUGGGCCGGUAGCCGUGGAUGACGAAGGCGGUGGGGCGGGACAGGUUGAAGAGCGGCUGGGAGGACGGGCGGUGGUGGUCGAGCUUGCGGCCGCAGUCCAGGUUGGAGCGGGUGUAGAGCAGCAGCCGGACGUACAGGCUGGUUCCCAUGAAGCAGUGCGACAGGUUCAGGUCCGUGAAGUUGUCACAGGACUCGGCCUCGCCGGUCUCCUCCUGACCUGGACGCACGAAUAAGACUUUUAGGGUCAGAACGAGAGCUGAGGGACGACGUUAGAGCUGCUCCACAUGCAGAUGAUUCACACAUCUGCAGGAAACUCACGACUUUAAGACUCAAAACCCUCAAAGAUGAGAAACGAUGAAAUGUGUGAGCUGCAGACACGUGAUGCACCGAGUCAAAUAGAUAUCUCUCAAAUGAAAGAGGUUAAAGAGCCUCUGAAGACGGCUGAACACACUAAAUGUUACGCAAAUUUGACGAUGCAAACUGAGGCCAAUAUACGUUGAAAAUGUUCCAACCUGUGUCCUGACAGACUGAGUAUUGUUUCUAAAGUUUCUAUAAUUAUUUAUCACCUGGCUAAAUGUGUCCUGGACAGACACAACUUCAAACAUCUGUGAAUGUAUUAAUCGAUCGGCAGAUGUUUAACCUUUAAUCUGUGACUAAGUCAGCCUCCUGAGUGUUUUCCUCGUCUGACCCAGUUAACUUCUCCUCACUCUUCAUCCUCUUCUCAGGUUCAGAGCUCCACGCCGUCUGACUGGAAGAUGCUGCUGGGAUCAGUUCUUCAUCUGGUUAGUGACGUUUGGAGCUCUUUAGCUCUAUGAUGGGCGGAUUAAACCAGCUGACACAGAGCCUCUCUAGCCUAUUUAAAGUGUCUUUAACCCGUCCUCAGCCUGUAGUUCAGAAUUUGAACUCCAGGCUGAGGACGGGUUGCUGGUUGUUUCCUCACCAAUUAAUCCCGACUGACAUUUAGUGACGUUUUAUCCUUCCUGGCAGACAUCUGUGAAAUGAUCUAGUAAUU
This is a long non-coding RNA of Anarrhichthys ocellatus (wolf-eel), 2563 nucleotides long. RefSeq lists it as uncharacterized. The record is from RefSeq and is a predicted model, not a curated record. NCBI's taxonomy places the organism in Eukaryota, Metazoa, Chordata, Actinopteri, Perciformes, Anarhichadidae. The transcript has 4 exons.